CCUACGGGGGGCAGCAGUGGGGAAUAUUGGACAAUGGGGGCAACCCUGAUCCAGCCAUGCCGCGUGUGUGAAGAAGGCCCUCGGGUUGUAAAGCACUUUCAGUGAGGAAGAACGCCUGGUGGUUAAUACCCAUCAGGAAAGACAUCACUCACAGAAGAAGCACCGGCUAACUCCGUGCCAGCAGCCGCGGUAAUACGGAGGGUGCGAGCGGUAAUCGGAAUUACUGGGCGUAAAGCGCGCGUAGGUGGCUUGAUAAGCCGGUUGUGAAAGCCCCGGGCUCAACCUGGGAACGGCAUCCGGAACUGUCAAGCUAGAGUGCAGGAGAGGAAGGUAGAAUUCCCGGUGUAGCGGUGAAAUGCGUAGAGAUCGGGAGGAAUACCAGUGGCGAAGGCGGCCUUCUGGACUGACACUGACACUGAGGUGCGAAAGCGUGGGUAGCAAACAGGAUUAGAUACCCGAGUAGUC
RNAcentral lists this ribosomal RNA (465 nucleotides) under Vreelandella stevensii. RNAcentral describes it as "partial 16S ribosomal RNA". It matches the Rfam family "Bacterial small subunit ribosomal RNA", at positions 338 to 795 of the family's 1533-position model. The record is from RNAcentral. Lineage: Bacteria; Pseudomonadati; Pseudomonadota; Gammaproteobacteria; Oceanospirillales; Halomonadaceae.